Rattus norvegicus (Norway rat) is the source of this 4851-nucleotide RNA transcript. It is a transcript of the gene named solute carrier family 15 member 1, with no coding region annotated. The record is from RefSeq and is marked provisional. Lineage: Eukaryota; Metazoa; Chordata; Mammalia; Rodentia; Muridae.
ACUUUUGAUUUGUUAGAGAAAGAAGCCCAGUGGUAAGAGCUGGAAGAGUGAGGUCAAAGGGUGGGCUGAGAAGAGGCCCACAUAGUGUAACCCUCAGUGUAGAGCACAUAGACUCCCAAUCUGCUGUCCUCGCCCCAUGCCAGGGAGCAGCCCAGCCCGCAGGACGCAGAACACAUAUGCUCGGUGGACUAGGACCAUAUUGUUUCAGUUUGUCUAGGGCACAGACCCUAGCACUUGACCAUGGAGGUGGUAAAUGACCCCUGCUCCAGUGAAGGUAAGCAGAGGAGACACAGCACCGGCCCCCCAAGCACCGAGUCACCAGCGGCUGUCCAGGAUCCCAGAGUUUCUCACUCUGCGGAUGCCAUAGAAGCUGGUGAUGAAUCAGGAGCACACGGAAAAGCCUGAUGCGAGCGGGAGUGCUUCCAGGGAGGCCCAAGAUGUCGAAGUUUUGGACCUCAACAGCACAAAGUUCACCCUACCGAGGAAACCAACCAAAGGAAACAGUUGCAUCCCCACCCCUCAGUCGCCACCGCUGGUCAACAGCAGGUGUCUGCUGCGCUCCCUUCCCAUUGGCCAAGGCAACACCUCCCACCAUCCCGUCACGAACCUUUCAGCAAAGUCAGCUGUUACUCUGGGAGUAGCAACCGGUCAAGGGUGGAAGGAGCGUCUUCCUCCCAUGCCAGCCAGCGAAAACAGGGAAGGGCAGGUGCAGCUGCCUCUGAGAAAGGUUUUCCCCGUUCUCCACCCACGCACCCCCUCCUCCCAGAAGAGUGGCUGGAGUUCCUAAGGGCUGGUGAUAAGGGCAGGGGAUCGGAUAAACAAAGUGAGGCAUAAACGGACUCCUCACCCUCAAAGGCUGUUCUGACCCAUGCAAGAAUAUGGCUGAGCCUGGAGAAGGCUUUGCUAACUGAAAGAAGCCAGCCACAGACGAGGGGAUUUGCACAGUCUGCUUGCACAGGACACCUGGGGGUGGGGGUGGGGCUAAGGUUCUGGAACUCAAGGAAGUAAAGUAUUGACAGCCAGAGACGGGGAAGACAGGUGCAGAGCUGUUUAAAGGCGAUAGAGCUUCAGCGUGGAAGAUGGAGUUCGGUAGACGGAUGACGUUGGUGAAUACACUUAAUGCUUAGGAUGGUCGUUGAAUACCGUGUACUUGACACUGACAUUUUUUAAGACAAUUCUGAGGAGUGAGAAGGGUGACUCUGAGCACUGGAGGAGAAGAAGCAGAGAAAUCUAGUGGUAGACGAGCUGGAGCUGGGGAAGGAGUCUCUUUCUCAAUAAAUAAACGAAUAAAACAAAUAAUUGAAACCCACUUUCCUUUCCCAUCUUAACACUCCUCCGUAAACUUCCUGAGCCUUAACUCCCUCAAGGCUGACCAGGAAGCAGAAAAAUGGCCAGGCCAAGUAUUACAGUCUUGUAAUCGCAGAACUGGGGAGGAGGGAUGCAGUGGGGUCAGGAUGCCCGGUCUAUUCGCGGCAAGUUCAAGGACACAGACACAAAGUGUUAUUGUCAGGUUUGCUUUCCCAAGCAAGGUAGAGCAGUUCUCUGAGCCCUCGUUUGUAAAGUGUGGUCCCAGGAGUGGUACAAGUCCUUUAGACUGCCAAACAUGCAAGUCAUGCUUUCUUGACUCAGCAAGUCCCAGCAUGGUGCCUGGCGACACACUGAUCGAUCACAGAUCAACCAGAUCAACAAGCCUCCUGGUGACCACUCACAAAGGGAGCCCUUGGCCCCAGAUCCCUCUACCCCCCCACUCCGUUACUUGGGACAGCUGCAUCUGUCCUGCUCCAGGGGGUCUGGGACCAGCGGCCUUGGGACAGGUAUCCUGCAGCAGGGGUUUAAGCGAUGUUAGCCUCUGUUCCCUCAAGGGUGGAGCUCGCCCAGCCCCGCCUCGCACUCCUACAAUCACACAGGUAGCCAGCUGGGCAGGGCCUGGAAACAAAGUAAGGGAGGCUGAACUCCUGCUUGCCAGUCGCCGGUCAGGAGCCUCGGAGCCGCCACAAUGGGGAUGUCCAAGUCUCGGGGUUGCUUUGGCUACCCAUUGAGCAUCUUCUUCAUCGUGGUCAAUGAAUUCUGUGAAAGAUUCUCCUACUAUGGGAUGCGAGCUCUCCUGGUUCUGUACUUCAGGAACUUCCUUGGCUGGGAUGAUGACCUCUCCACGGCCAUCUACCAUACGUUUGUUGCCCUCUGCUACCUGACGCCAAUUCUUGGAGCUCUGAUCGCAGACUCGUGGCUGGGGAAGUUCAAGACAAUUGUCUCACUAUCCAUCGUCUACACGAUCGGACAGGCCGUCAUCUCAGUGAGCUCAAUUAAUGACCUUACAGACCAUGACCACGACGGCAGUCCUAACAACCUUCCUUUGCACGUAGCACUGUCCAUGAUCGGCCUGGCCCUGAUAGCCCUUGGUACAGGAGGAAUCAAGCCCUGUGUGUCUGCAUUUGGUGGCGAUCAGUUUGAAGAGGGUCAGGAAAAACAGCGAAACCGGUUCUUUUCCAUCUUUUAUUUGGCUAUCAACGCAGGAAGCCUGCUCUCCACGAUCAUCACUCCCAUACUCAGAGUUCAGCAGUGCGGAAUCCACAGCCAACAAGCUUGUUACCCACUGGCCUUUGGGGUUCCGGCAGCUCUCAUGGCUGUUGCCCUAAUUGUGUUUGUCCUCGGCAGUGGAAUGUACAAGAAGUUUCAGCCCCAGGGCAACAUCAUGGGCAAAGUGGCCAAGUGCAUUGGCUUUGCCAUCAAAAACAGGUUUCGGCACCGAAGUAAGGCAUUUCCCAAGAGGGAACACUGGCUGGACUGGGCUAAAGAGAAAUACGAUGAGAGGCUCAUCUCGCAGAUUAAGAUGGUGACGAAGGUGAUGUUCCUGUACAUUCCCCUCCCCAUGUUUUGGGCCUUGUUUGACCAGCAGGGUUCCAGGUGGACACUGCAAGCAACGACCAUGACUGGGAAAAUUGGAACAAUUGAGAUUCAGCCGGACCAGAUGCAGACGGUGAACGCCAUCUUGAUUGUCAUCAUGGUCCCCAUUGUGGACGCCGUGGUGUAUCCGCUCAUUGCAAAAUGUGGUUUCAACUUCACCUCCCUGAAGAAGAUGACCGUUGGGAUGUUCCUGGCAUCCAUGGCCUUUGUGGUGGCUGCAAUUGUGCAGGUGGAAAUCGAUAAAACUCUUCCAGUCUUCCCCAGCGGAAAUCAAGUUCAAAUUAAGGUCUUGAACAUUGGAAACAAUGACAUGGCCGUGUAUUUUCCUGGAAAGAAUGUGACAGUUGCCCAAAUGUCUCAGACAGACACAUUCAUGACUUUCGAUGUAGACCAGCUGACAAGCAUAAACGUGUCUUCUCCCGGAUCUCCAGGCGUCACCACGGUAGCUCAUGAGUUUGAGCCGGGUCACCGGCACACCCUUCUAGUGUGGGGCCCCAAUCUAUACCGUGUGGUAAAAGACGGUCUUAACCAAAAGCCAGAGAAAGGGGAGAACGGAAUCAGAUUCGUCAGCACCCUUAACGAGAUGAUCACCAUCAAAAUGAGUGGAAAAGUGUACGAAAAUGUCACCAGUCACAGCGCCAGCAACUACCAGUUUUUCCCUUCUGGCCAAAAAGACUACACAAUAAACACCACAGAGAUUGCACCAAACUGUUCAUCUGAUUUUAAAUCUUCCAACCUUGACUUCGGCAGCGCGUACACCUACGUGAUCAGAAGUAGGGCGAGUGAUGGCUGCCUGGAAGUGAAGGAAUUCGAAGACAUCCCACCCAACACGGUGAACAUGGCCCUGCAGAUCCCACAGUACUUCCUCCUCACCUGCGGCGAGGUGGUCUUCUCUGUCACAGGACUGGAGUUCUCCUAUUCCCAGGCCCCGUCUAACAUGAAGUCCGUGCUUCAGGCAGGAUGGCUUCUAACCGUGGCCAUCGGUAAUAUCAUUGUCCUCAUUGUGGCUGAGGCAGGCCACUUCGACAAACAGUGGGCUGAGUAUGUUCUGUUCGCCUCCUUGCUCCUGGUCGUCUGCAUCAUAUUUGCCAUUAUGGCCCGAUUCUACACCUACAUCAACCCAGCAGAGAUCGAGGCACAGUUCGAUGAGGAUGAGAAGAAAAAGGGCGUAGGGAAGGAAAACCCGUAUUCCUCGUUGGAACCUGUCUCACAGACAAACAUGUGAAGAUCAGAAAGCAAGUGGAGAACAUACCAAGUCCAGCAUUCACCAUGACCUCUACCCAAGGGACAGGACCCUCCACCACAGAGUCCUUGCUGGAGAAAGACUUCAGACAUGUGAGCCAAAAUAAUAACAAAGCAGGUUUUCAGGCUGACGGCUGUGAAUCUGAAACUCUAGGGGAGCCUUUUUAAUUUGUUUUUCUUGAGACAGGGUAUCUCUGUGUAACCCUGGCUAUCCUGGAACUCACUCUAUAGACCAGGCUGGCCUCGAACUCACAGAUAUCUGUCUGCCUCUGCCUCCUAAGUACUGGGAUUCAAGGCAUGUACGGCAACUGCCCAGCUAAAAUAUUAUUUAUAACAUGCACUUUCUGGGUUUUUUGUUUUUAAAACAUACUUUUUUUUUAACACUGGGCCAUUUCUAACAUUUCUGCCACAGAAGUGGAUUUAGCUCAGAUUAACUUAAUUUUGAAAAGGUAACAGUACUGUUUUUUUUUCCUUAAUGCUCUUAUGAAAACAAUGUUGAAUUUACAGAGGGCUUUUUUAGUGUGUAGUGAGUAUCAGCUGAUUCGAGCUAAUAACUUUACCUUGGGGUUUUUGUUUGUUUGUUUUCCUGGUCUCCUUUGCCUGACCUCUUUUUAAAUUAUGUGUAAUUCAAAAGACUAUUCAAGUGAUGGUUAGUCAUGAGUCGUGACGUUUGACUGGUGUGAAGUAAAUUCUUGUUCUUAAGAA